UACCGCGUGUGUGAAGAAGGCCUUAGGGUUGUAAAGCACUUUCAAUUGGGAGGAAAACCUACCGGUCAAUACCCGGUAGCUUGACAUUACCUUUAGAAGAAGCACCGGCUAACUCCGUGCCAGCAGCCGCGGUAAUACGGAGGGUGCGAGCGUUAAUCGGAAUUACUGGGCGUAAAGCGUGCGUAGGCGGUUCGUUAAGUAAGAUGUGAAAGCCCUGGGCUCAACCUGGGAACUGCAUUUGAAACUGGCGGACUAGAGUUUAGUAGAGGGGAGUGGAAUUUCAGGUGUAGCGGUGAAAUGCGUAGAUAUCUGAAGGAACACCAGUGGCGAAGGCGACUCCCUGGACUAGAACUGACGCUGAGGUACGAAAGCGUGGGUAGCAAACAGGAUUAGAUACCCUGGUAGUCCACGCCGUAAACGAUGUCGACUAGCCGUUGGGCCUAUAUACAGGUUUAGUGGCGCAGCUAACGCAUUAAGUCGACCGCCUGGGGAGUACGGCCGCAAGGUUAAAACUCAAAUGAAUUGACGGGGGCCCGCACAAGCGGUGGAGCAUGUGGUUUAAUUCGAUGCAACGCGAAGAACCUUACCUACCCUUGACAUCCAGAGAAUCUGUUAGAGAUAGU
RNAcentral lists this ribosomal RNA (623 nucleotides) under uncultured bacterium. Its description in RNAcentral is "bacterial SSU rRNA". It matches the Rfam family "Bacterial small subunit ribosomal RNA", at positions 395 to 1010 of the family's 1533-position model. The record is from RNAcentral.